Long non-coding RNA from Leopardus geoffroyi (Geoffroy's cat), 629 nucleotides. RefSeq lists it as uncharacterized. NCBI's taxonomy places the organism in Eukaryota, Metazoa, Chordata, Mammalia, Carnivora, Felidae. The record is from RefSeq and is a predicted model, not a curated record. The transcript has 3 exons.
GAACCGAAACCUGAGCCGAAACCAGAGCGGAAACCAAGAAUUGGACACUCAACUGACUGAGCCCCCCUGGAGCCCCUCCUAUUGAUUGAUGUGAUGGGCUUGCAAAACUCCAUGCCUUUAUUCUUGUUUUUCUGUCUGCAAAGUGGGACCCACUAACGUGUUGGAGCUCUGCAAGAGGAAAAUUUUCCCUAACAUGCCAGCCUGGGAUAACAAAAAGAUUGCAAUGCCAAGAUGGUCAUCGAAGACCAAAUGUGCAGUUUCAAUAAGUGAGAAAAUUGGCCUUCACCCGUGAAAGUAAGUCUCAGAACUAGGAGACUAGGGGUGCUAUGGAAGCCUUUGAGAAGAAAGCUAUGAACUGGUUCCUUAGAAAAAAGGAGUUCCCUAGAAAAAAAGAUCCAUUCAAGAAUUUGCCGUAUGACCCAAAUGAUCAUGAAUUGAAGAACACCUUUGUAGAAGAGGUAUUUUUCAUUAAACUCAUGAAUCAUUUAAAUCAGUAAAUUAGUGGAAAUUUCCAUUUUGUUUUUGUGCGAGUGAUGGUGUUGCUGGGGACAUUGGGGAGACUAGGGUGAUUAAAGAAGUUGCUGCAAAGUCAGUUCUCUGAUCCUACGAUAGGACCUUCUGGAAAGGUC